This is a long non-coding RNA of Monomorium pharaonis (pharaoh ant), 492 nucleotides long. RefSeq lists it as uncharacterized. Lineage: Eukaryota; Metazoa; Arthropoda; Insecta; Hymenoptera; Formicidae. The record is from RefSeq and is a predicted model, not a curated record. The transcript has 2 exons.
AGCAUUUACGAAGUCAACUACAAUCAAAGGCCAAGGGACUUACGUCACGAGCCGAGAGCAGCUGGACAUCAAGGAUCAGCUGAACGAACGAGCCCAUUGAGCGGAACUCAGCCACGGCCCAACACCUAACGCAGCGUUAUCAGCGACACCGGAGCACCGACCUACCACACUACACACAGCUGACGGCAUGGAGCGAAGCGCAGCGUUAUUGGGACUUCUCACAUGUAUCUACCUGGCGACAACAGCUCAAGGAAGCGACACGCCGUAGUGGAAAGUGGAAAAAUUCACCCAUCAUCCGGGGAUAUACUAUGAAAAAAUAGGAAGACUUCGACAAAUAGAAUCGCAAUGGAAAUUAAUAAUUAAAAUAAACACUGCGUCUUUAUCAAGAAGACUGACGCAAAUUGAAAAAUAUGUAAAAAAAAACAGACAAUUUAUGUAGAAUCGUAGCGGUAAUGAAUAAAGCCAUAUGCGACAACUUCAACGCCACCAUAA